CCUACGGGAGGCAGCAGUAGGGAAUAUUGCUCAAUGGGGGAAACCCUGAAGCAGCAACGCCGCGUGGAGGCUGAAGGUUUUCGGAUUGUAAACUCCUUUUGUUAGAGAAGAUAAUGACGGUAUCUAACGAAUAAGCACCGGCUAACUCCGUGCCAGCAGCCGCUGUAAUACGGCGGGUGCAAGCGUUACUCGGAAUCACUGGGCGGAAAGAGCGCUGAGGCGGGAUAGCAAGUCAGAUGUGAAAUCCUAUGGCUUAACCAUAGAACUUCAUUUGAAACUGGUAUUCUAGAGUAUGGGAGAGGUAGGUGGAAUUCUUGGUGGAGGGGUAAAAUCCGUAGAGAUCAAGAGGAAUACUCAUUGCGAAGGCGACCUGCUAGAACAUAACUGACGCUGAUGCGCGAAAGCGUGGGGAGCAAACAGGAUUAGAUACCCCUGUAGUC
Molecule: ribosomal RNA, 440 nt
Filed under: uncultured bacterium
Lineage: Bacteria
Description: partial 16S ribosomal RNA
Rfam family: Bacterial small subunit ribosomal RNA
Source: RNAcentral